UAGGUCUUAAACUCUAGAAAGGAUCGAAACCAGGUAGGUAGCUCUAGAUAUUAAAAACAUGUGCUCAUAACUUUCCAGGUUGUGACAUGUCAUCCAUCACAACUAAGGAGAAACUUUGGGGUGCAUUUAUUCUCAACUCAUCUACGAUGGAGCUCUAGUUUAUUGGUAGUGGAGAUAGCUAGUGUGCAUCCAUAUCCUUGAUCUUCAGCCUGAGCAUGGCAUUUCUGUUCCAAACAAAAUAAGAAAACACAAAGGAUCAGGGAUGAAGACGAUUAAGAACAAGUGGAACAAGACAAAUUGAUAAGGCAAGUAAUUGUGCAACAACAUUCAAAUGUAAUGUGUCACUCAAAAUGCAGAAUGAUAUAAUUGACCAAGCAAUGAUGACUAGAUGUUUCCAUACCCCAAACGUGGUGUAUUUUUCCUUCUACAACAUGAAAAGUAAAGAAACAAUAGUCAAUGAGGGUAAAAGUCACCAAUGGGGAGUUUUUAGAUAGGAUUAUACACUUGACAUGUAGGGCGAAAAUAUCAUUGUGGUAUAUCGAAAUUGAAAAACAUUCAACAACACAAGUGUGCCGGUGUAAGCUAUGUUAUCCAGAAUUGAUAGGUCUGUGAAUAAUGGCAUGCUUAAAUAGACAUACAUGGAAAUUUUAUUCCAUGACACUACCGUAUCCUUUCUCGCAAAAAGAACAACUACAGUAUUCUAAAAAACUGCAAGUAUCUACAUCCAGAGUAACAUGAGUGAGGUUCACCAUUCGAGCUUAGCCUACUGGUGAUAAGAAUUCAUAUAAUGUGAUAUCAAUAUAUGAGAAAUGAAGAAGCUGCAAUACAUGAAAUUCCAUUAUUCAACUGCUAAUCCCUCCCUCUGAUUUCCCGUAUAUAUAACCCAAGACAACAACAACAGUCAUGACCACGUAGACAAAAGAGCAAUUGUAGCGUUUAUAAAUCAUGCUACAGGUAGAGAAAACAUCUCAAUUGUUGCUUACUAGUCUUCCUAAAAUGGCCCGAGGAAUCAAUUAUGUACCUACCACCAUUCCAUGAAUGUACUACACCAUGAUUGUUGAUGAACCAUUAACUAAAAUAAUAGAGGACUAAUAGUUUGGCAAUGCCAUUCAUUCUGCAACUACACCAGAUAUGUUGGUGUAUUGAUCUAAGCUACAGAUUUUAGCUUUAUUGCACACAACAAGACAAAGCAAUGAAAUAGAAAAUAGAUUGAUAGAGUGUACAAUUCAAAAAACAUUAUAACCUCAACAAGACAAUAGAUUAUAUGAAGGCCAAAAAACAAUCCUUGUAGGAUCAUCCUUGAGUGCAGGAAAUACGGGAGGCCAGAUCAUCAUAAGAGGAUGGAUUUCAUAGAAAAAUUUAUCACCGUCUUCCUUCUCAUACACCUUAUGCAUUGUUCUGCGCUCGAUGUCCAAGAGGAAUGUGCAUCGACCCAUGUCCAAGAACACAAACUCAGCAUUGUCUCCUGCCUGGUUUAUUAGGAGAGAAGCAUUGCCAUCUGACACACUCAAAUCAGCAAACAUCUCGCGCAAUAAAAUGGUGUCCGUCAGCAACCAUGUGUACCCAUCGUGGAGCCAGAUGCGUAGUUGAAACUUCUUGACAUGGAUAAGAUAUACACCAACAACAUCAUCGGCCUGUGACAAUAUGGUGUUUCUCUCACCAUAUUCCAUCCCUUCUGGGAGCUCAAUUAUGGAGAAACUUGAGGCCGCCAUAUCCAAGACAAUAAUGUUGCUCCAGCCAGCUGGCACAUAGAUUUUAUUGUUGGACAACACAGAUUUAAGUACUGACCAUGGACGAGGGGGCUCCUGUAUGAUCAAGCUAUGAUUCAUGCGCCAUAUGCCAUGUUUCAAGAUAUAUAUGUAUACCCUAUGUUUUCCAUUCGUUGUUUGGUGCAUCAACACAUACAAGUAAGACAAGGCAUCGCCCUCUUCUUUGGACAUGAUUCUAGAGUAAGCAGUACCGUCAAAUAAGUACGGAGAUUGGGGGCGUGGAAACGGUGGGAGGAUGUCCAUGCCUCUCUCAGGACACACCACUUGGUGCACUGCAAACGUGGUUCCAAUUUCAUCAUGCUGCCUAAUGAGUAUGUUGCCAUUCUGACAACCAAGGAUGUAGGUUGGUACCGACGGUACUCUCUGAUAGGUGCCCAUGCUAGAGGUUGCGCGACGGAUGACAGCAGUGAGUUCACGGGGCUGAGGCAAUAUUGGGAUGAAGUGCGGGGUGCUCUGACCUUUGUUGAUGUAGAAGCCAAGAAGGCGGGGCGGGUGGAUCUCACGAAAUUGACGGAGGAAGGCACGGUUGGAGGCAUGGGCGAGCCAGCGUGUGCAUACGAGGGCGGAGUUGAGAAGGGUGGUGGUGAAGACGGUGCGGAGGAGGAUCUCACUUAGGAGGUCAUCGUCCUCGAGCACCUUGGAUAUCGCCGCCAUUGAUGUUGGGGAACGCCGGUCAAACUGGGGUUAGGGGAGAAGAAUUGCAGGUCGAUGCCGGGGACGGGUGAGGUGAAGUCGCCGACGAAAUUGUGACACUCAUCCUUUAAUUGCUUACGUUUCAGGCAAGUGAAGAAACGGCUUCUGGCACCUACAGCAAAAAUAAAUGACCAGCCAGCCUGGCCAAUUAAACCAAAAAGGUAACUGUCGUAGUGUGCAAUAACUGUGGUCCACCUGCUUUUAUGUUCCGUUUUAUUGCGCUGGCGUGUGUUGCUUGCCUUUGUGAUCCCCACACCGGUCCACUACGAAUAGGGAGGGGCAUGGCCGUCACUUUGCACAAAGCAGCUAUUGAGCGAUCCUGCCGAAAGGUUUUGUACGGAUUUUACUGAUUUAUGUAUAAACAUUUUAGAAGGUUAUGGUAUGUUUUCGCUAUUUUUAAUGGUUUUUUGUUUUCUAAAAAAAUGUCCAUAAACAUUCUGAAUCUCAAAAUUUUACUCUGAAUUUUUAAAAGUUCAUCCUUAUAAAAAAUAUACUCCCUGCGUCCCAAAAUAAGUGACUCAACUUUGCACUAAAGUUAGUACAAAAUUUAGUCACUUAGUUUGGGACAGAGGGAACAUUUUUUGAUUUGUUUGUAAGAAAUGUUUGGAAUUUCAAAAUAUAUUCGUGUUUUAAAAAAAUCCCAAAAAUGUUCACCUUUCAAAAAAUGCUCGCGUCUUCCAAAAAAAUUGUAAACAUUUCAAAAAGGUUCAAAAUUUUCAAAUAAAGAUAAAAAUCUAAAAAUAUGUUCACACUUUUGUAAUUUUUUUGUGAUUUUCAGUAGGCUAAAUGAAAACAAAAUAAGCACUCCUGCCGAUCGAUAUUAAUUGUCGCCGACUUAAUAAAUCCACAGCAGUUAAUAUGGAUUAGAGGGGGUUCUAAAAAAGUGUGGUGCUAUAGUGUCUACUUCUUCACAUUUUUACUUGUCUCUCCCCGACACAUAGGCAAAAGUGCCAUGCAAGCGGGCUUAUAGCCCACUAGUAUAUUUGCUCUUAUAUUGUUAACUGCUAAUCUAAGACCGGUUUAAAGCGUGUUCUAGUCUAUCUGGAUUGAGCGAGGGUGGUGACGUGUCAUGCACUCAUAUCAUCAUCCUUCACUCAUAACUAGAUAGCUUCUUCUGCUUGUUUUGACUUUACACUUAUCUUGACAUGAAUAAUCUACAUAGUACUGUCAACUCUGACUAUUCGAAAGUUGCCACUUAGAAACAGUACAUACGGCAAAAUUACACCGCAAAAUAAUGGUUAAUUCAAUAUACAAGCCACGUCCGCAAUGGCAUUUAUCAAAGUAUCAAUGCUGGCAAUGCAAUGGUUAAAAGUUUCUCCAAGUGAUUUUUUGCGUGGUCUGAUCAAAAUUUCAAUCAACGAGUCGAUCUUGUAUGGUUUGUGUGGUAGGGUCAAUUUUCUCAAGGAAAAUGGAUAAGGUUGAACAGUGCUAAAUACACAGUUGUUUUCUCACCAAUAAUUCGACCGAUCAGAUCAUGGGCACCGCCGUCAGUUGCAAGAAUAAAUGAUGCAAAAUCGAAAACACAAUUUCUUGUCUCACAACGAGCAACUGAGUUAAUUGUAAGAAACCACUACAUUGAAGGCUAGAUCAGCAGAAAACGUGAAUUUACAUUUUUUUUUUAAAAACAGCAUGUCUAAAGUAAUUGUUUGGCAAAUAACACUGAUUCGCGGUGGAUUAGACUUAUUUGAGCGUGUUUAUGGCAGGCUGGUCCCGCAUCUCGCUUACAUGGCAUAACAGUUCACGGAGACGGGGGUUGGUCUAAAUUUACCAAAUAGUCCCAAAUUUUUUACAUAGGCACCCUUUACACAAAAACUAAAGCGAUCAGCCCGUGCAUAGAACUGUAGCACUGUGCCAUGUGCUGCCGGUAUCCCGCCUGUCGCCGCCGCUAGGUGGUCGCAGCCGGUCGUUGCGCUGCCGCCGCGCCUGACGGCAUGGAGCCCAUGGCGACGAACCGCACGCCGCCGGGAGCAGCUGCCCGUGCAUGGCCCUGCAGGACACCCUCCGCCACCACCGACACCGAGGCGGUCAACGCCGGCAGUCUUUCAAGUAGGCGAGCGCCGUAUAUGGGUAUGUCUAGCCGGUGGCUAGAAUAGAUUCAACAACUAGCUCCUGUGCUUGUACGUCCGCAUCCAACCGGGAGGAAUCAAUCAACCCACACCUAGAUCCGCAGUAGACGCCUUUUGAGAUUGUUUUCUCCAUGUGUUCUUUCCUAUUGUACUGGACAGGGCUGCAGGAGGAGGAGGGCGCCAAGGAGCUGCGAAGCGGUGCUGAGAUGAUCAGGUCGAGCACGAUGCGCAUGAUGGAAAUGUGCAAUGCGGUGAGAGUGUCGAUCGGGGGAGAUUGAAGGUCUGCAAAAAUCUUGUUGGCUAGAGCUGGGCAAUCCUACGAUCCUGUGACGGCAUUUUGGUUCUUUUGUGGAUGUCUCAUGUCUUUGUGUGUAGUAAAAACUUAAGGGUGUUUGCUAUGGAUAUUCGGUGCUGUCUAGGUUUUCGCCCCAUGGCAUUCGUUUCGAUGGCGAGCGAAUGCAGUGGGUUUCCUGGCAGUGCCCAGACUCGCUUUACCUCUUUCCCUUCUCCUGUCAUGUUUCUGAACUUUGUAUUUUCGUUCAUUUGCAAUGGAAAAGGGUAUAGCCCGGUUCGAAAAAAAAGAUCCGCAGUAGACAAAGUACUUCUUGCAACAUCGAGCACUAUGCAUGCGUGCUAGUUGUUGCUGCUGCUUGCGGGAGAUGCGGCGGCCACCUCGUUCGCGAGGCGGAUGAGGCGCCAUCGGGUUCUUGGUAGGCAGUGGCGGCGCCAGAAAAUGAAGGCUGCGUAUUCAUUCAAAUUUUUUUUUGCUCUAAAUAUAGUAUAUGAACCAAACAACAGACCACUAGCAAUAUAGAUGAACAAAACAACAUUAGCAUACUAGAUGGAUGCAAAAUGUCCAGAGCGGAGCCGUGGAGGUGAGCCGGGAGGGGCUGGGCGCCUACUUGGGCCGGGGAGCCGCCAACCAGGAGGUCGGAGGCUGACCGGCGCCUGACGAAGCCGCAUCGCCGCAGAGGUCGGCGCAUAGCGGCAGAGGGUCGGAGGGCGUCUGGGCAAGGGCGGGCCAGCAUGGGAGGGAGAGGGAGAGGGCGGCCGGAGGGGAGGGGACUGAGGGGUGAGGCGAGGGAGGAAGGAGAGGGCCGACCUGGCCGCCGGAGCCAGACCUGAUUCCAGGGGAGGCUGAAUCGGGGGAGCUAGGUUUGGGAAAAGGGGAUCGAUUGAAACUGGGGCUUGGCCGCUCGGGGCAGUACUGAAUCGAGGAAGGGAGACGAGCCACUCGUGCGCCUAGCCACUUAGCCAGACGCUGACUGGGUCGUGUCUGCUCCCAUGCGUAGCUUUUUUGCCGUGGCCCUAUCCCUUCUACCGUAUAUGUACUAUUUUUUUUACGCGAAAUACUUGGGUAUUCCAGGGAAGUCCCAGGAAGACCCCAGCGUCGCCACUGUUGGUGGGGAGACCGGGCAGAGAGCGGCGUGGCGGUGGAGACCACCAUACACUGCAUUGCGAGCAUGCUAGGAGGUUUUGAGGCGCCGGCCGCGGAUCCGGCAUGGGGCAUGGCGUUAGAAGGGCGGGGGCUAUCUGUUCUGCAGCGGGGGAAGGUUUGGGAACGGUCGGCGGCCCAGGGAGAAAGUUUGGCACAUUUUUGCAAAAGACCCGCCGUCUCUUGUGAACUGUUACGCCACCUAUGCAAAAAAUGGGGCCCGUCUGUCAUAAACACGCUCAUAUGAGACUAAUCCACCUAUCAUAUUGGUUCCUACAUAUUUCACGCAGGUCAUCUAUCGUUUGAACCAUGAUGUCAAGGAUUCAGUUAAUCCCGUAUGCAAUUCUCUUUGUUCGGGAAUAUGUUACUUGUCUGAGAUUCGAUCGUCGGUAUCUCCAUACUGUUGGGGAACAUAGCAGAAAUUCAAAAUUUUCCUACAUGUCACCAAGAUCUAUCUAUGGAGAAACCAGCAACGAGGGGAAGGAGAGUGCAUCUACAUACCCUUGUAGGUCGCUAAGCGGAAGCGUUCAAGAGAACGGGGUUGAAGGAGUCGUACUCGUCGUGAUUCAAAUCACCGGAGAUCCUAGUGCCGAACGGACGACACCUCCGCGUUCAACACACGUACAGCCCGGUGACGUCUCCCACGCCUUGAUCCAGCAAGGAGAGAGGGAGAGGUUGAGGAAGACUCCAUCCAACAGCAGCACAACGGCGUGGUGGUGAUGGAUGAGCGUGGCAAUCCAGCAGGGCUUCGCCAAGCACCACGGGAGAGGAGGAGGAGGAGAGGCGGGGCUACACCAAGAGAGGGAGAAGUUCUCAUGUGUUGGCAGCCCCAAAACCUCAAGUAUAUAUAGGGGGAAGGGGGGCUGCGCCCCCUUUAGGGUUUCCCACCCCAAGGGGUGCGGCCAAGGGGGGAGGAGUGCCUUCCAAGUCAAGUGGAGGUCCUCCCCCUUAGGGUUUCCCCCUUCCCAUGCGCAUGGGCCUUGGGGGGGCUGGUGCCCUUGGCCCAUUAAGGCUAGGACGCCCCCCUACAGCCCAUGCUACUGUAUUGGACGUGGUGGAACAAUUUCCGGACCUCCGGACCCCUCCGGAAUCCUCCGGAACCUUUUGGAAGCUUCCCGGUACAAUACCGAAAAAACCCGAACAUUUCCCGGAACCCGAACAACAACUUUCCAUAUAUAAAUCUUUACCUCCGGACCAUUCCGGAACUCCUCGUGACGUCCGGGAUCUCAUCCGGGACUCCGAACAAUAUUCGGUAACCACAUACAAACUUCCUUUAUAACCCUAGCGUCAUCGAACCUUAAGUGUGUAGACCCUACGGGUUAGGGAGACAUGUAGUCAUGACCGAUACGUUCUCCGGUCAAUAACCAACAGCGGGAUCUGGAUACCCAUGUUGGCUCCCACAUGUUCCACGAUGAUCUCAUCGGAUGAACCACGAUGUCAAGGACUUAAUCAAUCCCGUAUACAAUUCCCUUUGUCUAGCGGUAUUUUACUUGCCCGAGAUUCGAUCGUCGGUAUACCGAUACCUUGUUCAAUCUCGUUACCGGCAAGUCUCUUUACUCGUUCCGUAACACAUCAUCCCGUGAUCAACCCCUUGGUCACAUUGUGCACAUUAUGAUGAUGUCCUACUGAGUGGGCCCAGAGAUACCUCUCCGUUUACACGGAGUGACAAAUCCCAGUCUCGAUCCGCAUAAAACAAUAGAUACUUUCGGAGAUACCUGUAGUGCACCUUUAUAGUCACCCAGUUACGUUGUGACAUUUGAUACACCCAAAGCACUCCUACGGUAUCCAGGAGUUACACGCUCUCAUGGUCAAAGGAAGAGAUACUUGACAUUGGCAAAGCUCUAGCAAACGAACUACACGAUCUUUGUGCUAUGCUUAGGAUUGGGUCUUGUCCAUCACAUCAUUCUCCUAAUGAUGUGAUCCCGUUAUCAACGACAUCCAAUGUCCAUAGCCAGGAAACCAUGACUAUCUGUUGAUCACAACGAGCUAGUCAACUAGAGGCUCACUAGGGACAUAUUGUGGUCUAUGUAUUCACACGUGUAUUACGAUUUCCGGAUAAUACAGUUAUAGCAUGAAUAAAAGACUAUUAUCAUGAACAAAGAAAUAUAAUAAUAACACUUUUAUUAUUGCCUCUAGGGCAUAUUUCCAACACAUACCUCGUUCUAUCUCAUUAUCGACAAGUCUCUUUACUUGUUCUGUAAUACAAGAUCUCAUGACUAACUCAUUAGGGCAUCUCCAGCCAUUGACACCCCCAGGAGGCGUUUUUUUCGCCGCUUGGGGGGCUGCCGGCGAGAUUUUAAGCCUGGGGCUGAAAUUUCUUUCAGUCGUUUGGCCCCCCAGGCAGCAACGAGCCGUCGGAGCAGCGCCAAGCGCGGGAACUGCGCGAGAUGCGAUCACCGGCCGGCCGUUUCCGGCCACGGCUGGUCGCGGGGGUUUGUUCGCUGGAACGCCCGCAGUGCGGCACGUCCAGCAGUGGUCGUUGCAGCCGACAACGUGGGGUGUAGCGGCGGCAGCGACGGGCGGAGAGGCGGCCGUGUUGCGGGUAGCUAGCGACCCAACGGAGCAACGAGGCAGCGUUAGUAGAGCACCCGGAGCACGACGGACAGCUGUGCGUGGCGGGAUGAGCUCGGCAUCAAGCAGAGCAUCGGCCAUGGCGGACGGCAGCGCUCGGUGCUCGCGGGGACGACGGUUACGGCACGAAAUCAAGCGAGAGGGGUGGUUAGCGAGCUCGGGAAGGCGGCCAUGAGGAAGAGCACCGACGCCCAGUGCCCCCACCGCGGCCAGCGAUGCUAGGAGGAGCGGCCGACUCACCGGAACGUGCGCCCAAGCCGGACGGGGCGAGCAGGCAGGGAGCAAAGCGGGCGCGGAGGAAGCCGCGGGAGGCGGAGCCGGCGUGAGCCGACCAGCCGGCGUGCGGGAGGCUGGCCGGGCGAGGCGGCGAGCGGACGGGGCCGGACUCGGCGCCGCUGCUGGAGCCGGACAGGGCGAUGGUGAGGUACAACGCCGGCGCGCGCACCACGGUGUCCCGCGAGGUCUCGGACGAGCGGAGACGUGGCGUCCUCCCCGCGAGCUCCGUUGCGCGCCCCGUCCUUCCUCUUCCGCCAUGGCCGUCGGGGGCACGAAGACAUCGACGCCACCCUCCUUCUCGUCCGGCUCUUCCUCGUAUGCGGGUGCUUCUUGGGCGGGGGCAGGAACUCCCGUGGCCGCGCGCGCCCGUGGCCGCCCUGGCCUUGCCUGCUCCGGCCACGGCCCCGCCUCGCCAGCUCCGGCCAGCGCCCGCCCUGGCCGCGCACAGCGAGCUCCUGCCUCGCCCGCCCAUAGUACAUGGAGAGUAGAACCGGGGAGAGAGGGAGUGUGGGCGUGGAGAGGAGAGAGGGAGUGUGCUGCACGUGGGUGGGCCUGAAGAAGAGAAAGGGGGAGAGAGAGGCUGGCAAGUGGGGCAGCGCCUUCAAAAAGCUAAUGCCGGCGUCCCCAGCUGCCCCCCGGCGAGCUGGGUGCGGGGUGAGCGUGUCGGCGCUAACUUUUGCUAAAUCCGGCGCAAAACGAUGUUUUGGGGCCCUGACUGGGGCGUUUUUUACUCGCCGGCGUCCAAAAAAGCGCCUGGGGGGCUUCUUGGGGGCCUUAGUGGAGAUGCCCUUAGCCACAUUGCUUGCAAGUUCUUUACGAUGUUGUACUACCGAGAGGGCCCAAAAGAUAGCUCUCCUCACACGGAGUGACAAAUCCUAGUCUCGAUCCAUGCCAACCCAACAGGCAUCUUCGGAGAUACCUGUAGAGCAUCUUUAUAAUCAUCCAGUUAUGAAGUGACGUUUGAUAGCACACAAGGUAUUCCUCCGGUAUCCGGGAGUUGCAUGAUCUCAUGGUCUUAGGAAUAGAUAGUUGACAUGAAGAAAGCUAUAGCAAUAAACUCAAGUGAUACGAUCGAAUGUUAAGCUUACGGUUGAGUCUUGUUCAUCACAUCAUUCUUCUAAAGACAUGUACAGUGCUCUCUAGUCAGCUGCCUGCAAGGGAUGACACCUAGGAUUUUGGAUGAGGUGGAGGGAAACUCAGGAAGAGAGAGAAUAAGCCGGUCGAUAAAGAUACAGACGGUCUACAGCCCUGAGAAAUCGGCACCUAUCGACGGCCUAUUACCGUUGUACGAGAGGCCGUCUGCAAUCCAAUACCCCUUCGUACGAAUCCUCUCCCAAUCCUCUUGAUCCUUGAUGGAGACGAAGAUCGCGCGAUUAGCUGCUGCUAGUUGCCGAUGAGAAGCUCCUGAUCGUCGUUGUCGCCGGCGGCAUGGCAGCAUGUGCUCCUCGUGGGCAGAGGUUAUGCCAAGCGGCAACGGUGGUGCUUGACCGGCGCCACGACGCGAUGAUGAGAAUGUCAGAGUUCGCUACCAGGGUGGGCUGUGAAAUUUGGAUCCAUCUCUAUCCAAAUUGUCCUCUCUUGAUGCUGCAACACAGGGCUUCUUGCAGUCGCCGCAUGAACCGAACAUGGCAUCUGCGUAUGGUCGCACAAGUCUCUGUACGACACUUGUUUGCUGAUUUCUGCAAAUUAGAAUCGUUUUAUCUGAUUCAUUUUUGUCAGGGACUAGGAUUGGCGCGUACAUGGACAAAUUUUCCCAUUUUGAUAUUAUAGACACCUAAAAAGCUAACCUGUUGUAUAGGCUGUCUUUAUGCUUGUUUGCAGAUGACGUGGAGAGUUGUUAUAGACAGAUACCGUCUAAACUAUUCUACAUUCCUUAAUGAUGUGAUCCCGUUAUCAAAUGACAACUCAUGUCUAUAGUUAGGAAACCUUAACUAUUUUUAAUCAACAAGCUAGUCUACUAGAGACUCACUAGGGACAUAGUAUUUGUGUAUGUAUUCACACUUGUAUUUAAGUUUCCGGUCAAUACAAUUCUAACAUGAAUAAUAACCUUUAUCAUUAAUAAGAAAAUAUGAUGAUAACCAAUUUAUUAUUGCCUCUAGGGCAUAUUUCCAACAGGUAUCUUACCAGGAUCGACCUUGGAGAAUCGGCCAGACAAAUGCGCAAGCGGGCAUCAAAGCAAUGGACUAAUUUCCGCGGCCAAUUGCGCUGCAAAACGAGCUUUGCGUAAAGUUACGUACUAGCUGAUCUGGAUUAAUUGAAUUGGAUUAGAAAGAGGCUCAGGCCCACCCCCGAAAAUCAGGGGGGGGGGGGGUCAUUAGUUUUAUAGGACGGAAAAGAACGUAAGUUGACGUAGAAGGUUACAUAGGUCUAGUGUUUUCGCUGCAAAACCACCAACAAACAACAAUCCAUGAAUCAGCUCACUAGAGGACAUGUAAAAUCAGUGUGCAGGAAAUGAAACACAGGGAGAACAGAAAUUAUCUUGCCGUUUGGGAAGAGAAGAGCUCACAUCAACCAAUCAACGUGAGGCUGGAAGAGGAAGCGACUUUCGCCGUCGGGGACGAGCGAGGUCAGGCCGCCGGCGCCCCCUCCUUAAUUUCUUUCGGCGGGGAUGAACUGCGUUUUUUUUAGAGAAAGCUGAAGUAUUUGAGUGGAAGUUGGUGGCUGGUUUUGGGAAGCUUCUUGAAGCUUCCAGUCCUUUUUUCCUUGGCCUUUUUUGUUUGGUUUUUCUUAUUUUCCCCUUUUUUGUUUUUCAUAUUUCCAUUUUUUUCUCAAAAUGCAUGAAUUCCUUUCAAACUCAAGAACUUUUUUCAAAUUCGUGAAUGUUUUCCAAAUUUGUUUUUUAAAAUCGUGGGCAUUUUCCAAAUCCGUGAUUUUUCACAUUUGUGAAGUUUUCGCCUAAAAUUCAUGAACAUUUUGUAAUUUUUAUUUUUCCGUAAAUCCAUGAACUUUUUUCAAGUUCGUGGACCUUUUCCAAAUUCAUGAAUUUUUUUGUCCGUGAGCUUUUUCAGUUUUGUGAACUUUUUAAAAUCCACGGACUUUAAAAAUAUCCGUGAUUCUUUUCCCGAAUUCAUGAUUUUUUUUCUCAAAUCUAUAAACCUUUUAUUAAACUAUUUUUUAUGAAACCUUGUCAGAGGGCAGGGAGCUCCCACGUUGCAUACUGAAGAAGAGAGUUGGUCCAAUUAAUGAAGGUACCUGACCCAAAAAUAAUACAAAACUAACAAAAACCACGCACGCAACUGCUGAUUCAGCAUCAUCUUCAGACUUCGUAUGGAAUGCCAUGUUUCAUGGGAGAAGCAGAUAUUGAGAAAUUUGUAGGUGCUUCACAAUGUAUAUUGCCAGAAGAAAGCUAUGAGCUUCAGAUUAGGCACCGAGAGUAUAUAGCAGUUGUGGCUUGGAUCCUGAGUAGACAUGUGAAGGAUAGGGAGCAGGUUCCGAUGAAGGUUGAGAGUGAUGUACAACAAAUUGCAGCAGAUUCAUGGGCUCCAUUAUUGAGCAGGUUAACUCAAUCAGGUUUGCAGCCAUCUGCAUAGCACCUACCUAAAGUGGCGGCAUACAUAUGAUUUGGGGGAAACAAUAAUUUGGGGCAAACAACAGAGUUGAUGUUGUCAUCUUCUCUCUCUCUCUCUCUCUCUCUCUCUCUCCAGUCUUCCCCCAUUUCUUCUUUCCAGAUACAAUAGAGUAGACAGCAAGCAUAAAUCAUGAUACAAGACUAGGGCUAUCAAAGGUAAUAACAAGGUGAAGAAAAUCAUGCAAAAGAUAUAUCAUGAUAAUCAAGCAUAAUAAUAGGUAUUAAACUCCAGAAAGGAUCGAAACCAGGUAGGUAGCUCUAGAUAUUAAAAACAGGUGCUUAUUACUUUCCAGGUUGUCACAUGUCACCCAUCACAACUAAGGAGAAACUUUGGGGUGCAUUUAUUCUCAACUCAUCUACGAUGGAGCUCCAGUUUAUUGGUAGUGGAGAUAGCUAGUGUCCAUCCAUAUCCUUGAUCUUCAGCCUGAGCAUGGCAUUUCU
This 12819-nucleotide long non-coding RNA is filed under the name Triticum aestivum (bread wheat). RNAcentral's name for it is "long non-coding RNA (TAES_LNC009594)". The record is from RNAcentral. Lineage: Eukaryota; Viridiplantae; Streptophyta; Magnoliopsida; Poales; Poaceae.